RNAcentral lists this ribosomal RNA (497 nucleotides) under uncultured bacterium. RNAcentral describes it as "partial 16S ribosomal RNA". It matches the Rfam family "Bacterial small subunit ribosomal RNA", at positions 28 to 507 of the family's 1533-position model. The record is from RNAcentral.
GACGAACGCUGGCGGCGUGCCUAACACAUGCAAGUCGAGCGCUGAAGCUUUGUACUUGUACCGACAGGAUGAGCGGCUGACGGGUGAGUAACGCGUGGAGCAUCUGCUUUUGUGUGGGGGACGAUAAUGGGAAACGAAUUAUAAUAACACAUAAAAACUUUAAACAGAAGAUUCAAGUGUGAUAGAUGCCAUUGCAGCAUUCAAAGACGAUUCCGCGUUGUAUUAGCUAGUGGGUGAGGUAAAGGCCCACCAAGGCGAUGGUACCUAGCCGACCUGAGAGGGUGGUCGGCCCCCUUGGGACUGGGACCCGGCCCAAACUCCUACCGGAGGCAGCCGUAGGGAAUCAUCGGCCAUUGGCGGAAGUCUGAACGAACCACGCCGCGGGAGUGAAGAAGGUUUUCGGGUCGUAAAACUCUGUUUGUAGGGAAGAAAGAUCGUGAGGGUGGAAAGCUCAUCAAGUGACGGUAACUACCCAAAAAGCAACGGCUAACUACGUG